GGGGUUGGCUCCUAGAUUUUCUUUUAGGCUUAGGAUGCUUAAUGACCUGCAAAUAAAAAUACAAGAAGACAAUCCAAAAUAUAUUAUAAAAUGCAACUUCACAUAGAAUAUAUGUAUAGGGUAGGGAUCCUGUAUGUAUAUAUACACACAUGUAUAUAAAUUUUAGAUAUCAAAGAAAUAAAGACGCACUUGAGGUCUACACUGAGUCCUAAAUGAUAGAUCAAAGUCGCUCAAUACGACAUGUCCAUCUGAUUGAAGUAGUAUGUUCUCCGGUUUCAAGUCCCUAUAGAUGAUACCUGCAAAAGACAAGAUCUUAUGUAAAGAACGAUACGAUACGUUGACCUCAUGCAUAAAAUUAAAGGAGAUGCAUCAUAUCAUCUGUAUCUCUUUUGACUUUAAAUGAUACCUAAACAAUGGAGAUACUCUAAGCCAAUUACAACCUCAGCUGCAUAGAACCUGCAGACAGUAAGAACAAAUACAAGUACAUUAAGGAGGAAAGAUUUUGAAUCUCUCAACAUAUUUUACCAUUAACAACUUUUUUAAAUAUUUCUUAUCAGGAAAUAGAAAGUUUACUGUUAUAGCUUAGGAAAUUUCCAAAAGCUACCUUGCAGACUCUUCGCUGACUAAUUUCAGCGGUUGUUUGUCAAGCAGAGCAAAUAGCUCCCCUCCGGGGCAAAAGUCUGUUAUCAAGCAGACAUGUGUUGGAGUCUGUGGAUACAAUAACGCGUUAGUAUGGUUGUAACAAUCCAGCCUAAAUGGAAAAAUAAGUAUAUAAAAUAUCAUCUCUAUAAAAGGGCUAAUAGCAUAAAAACGUACUUUUUUUUAUUUGCUUGAAAAGGUCCCUAAACCAAAUUUUGGUAUAAGUUUAAAAUGCAUAUAUUUAUGAAAUCUACAACAAAUGUCGGUCACUGGCACACACUCUGUGCAUAUGUGGAGACUAUGUACAUGUUUUUUUUUGUUGCUGAUGUGGAUGCCAUGUAGGCACAUUUGUUGCGUAGAACACUACCUCAUCAUUUACGUAGAACACGACCGCAUCAUUUAGUAUUGUUUUAUGUACAAGUGAAUACCAUAUUAUAUGAUAAAAAAAAAGUUAUCCAUGUCGGCAUUUUUGCACAUGAAAUGCCACUAUAUCGAAUGUUGACCCAUUUAAGAGGUAACAAGUUAUAAUCAUAUUUUUUUUUACAAGUUCGUGUAUUUUCAACAAGUUUAGGGACUUUAAUAUGCCAAAAUUGGCUUGAGGGAAAUUUCAUGUAAAUGAAAAAAUUAUGUUGGCUUUCUUAUGCAAAAGCACAAAAGUUCAAAUUAUUUGGAAAAUUACUUGGUAAAUUUUUUAUAUGCACUAAGAACCAAAAAUUGCUAAUAUGAUAAGAUACUCCUGUUUGCUUAUUAGAGGGAAAUCUGAGACCUGAAAGGAUGUGUACAGAGUAGGGAGGAAAGGGUGAUCUAGUAGUGCAAUUAUCUCCCUUUCAAUGCAAGCGCGAUGAACCUGCCAUUUACAUGAUAAUUUAUCAACAUAAUUAAU
Molecule: long non-coding RNA, 1522 nt
Filed under: Helianthus annuus (common sunflower)
Lineage: Eukaryota; Viridiplantae; Streptophyta; Magnoliopsida; Asterales; Asteraceae
Description: hypothetical non coding rna
Source: RNAcentral